Molecule: long non-coding RNA, 1970 nt
Organism: Homo sapiens (human)
Lineage: Eukaryota; Metazoa; Chordata; Mammalia; Primates; Hominidae
Gene: PACRG-AS1
Product: PACRG antisense RNA 1
Source: Ensembl
GGACAUAGUUUUGGCUGUAGGUUGUUUUCACGAACCCACAGAGACAGAAACCUGCGGCAAUGGAGAAAAUGCUAAUACAGACAUCUUACUUCAGUGUCUGGCAAACAAGAUUAUACACUGAGGACGAUGUAGACGUCAGCUUCCCUGACGAGGGAAGCUGCAGCUUUCUGAUGAUUCCUGAAGCCUACAUUCUAUUAAUUUCCCCGAAGAGCCCUAUUGCCUAAUGGAACAUUGUGAGAAUGGCCAGUCUGGAAAGCAGGAUCAGUGGAGCUGGCUUCUGGCUCACUGGCUUUCAGCUGAGCCUUCCAAAUGGCUGGGAAUGAACAUCCAGUUAGAAGCCUCGGUUUGGAACAGUGGUUCUCAGACUUCAUGGUGUGUGACAGUCACUGGGGAACUUGUCCAAACACAGAUUGACAGACCCCAUCCCAAAGUUUCUGAUUCAGCGGCUCUAGGGAGGGCCCUAAGAACACGAGCUCCUCUUCCCAAGCUCCCAGGUGACGCUGAGGUUGCUGCCCCGGGAGCCCACUUUGAGAACUGCUGAUCUAGGGUGUGCUGGGGUAACUCUGGCUGUCAGAGGGGUCAGGACACUUGGUCUCCUUCUCUUUGGUCUCACUGAGAAUGUGAAUGUGAAUGGCCUUUUGAGGCCACUUGCACUGAGUCCUCUACAGGGCACACUGGACGGCGGGGGAGCGUCUGGAAGGGGUCUGCACACCGGCUUGCAGCCUCAGUGAUGCUCAUCUAGUGCGGGUCCUGCGUGGUCCCCAGAGGAACCCAGUGAGAAAUCCGGAGGAGACGGACAGAGAGGAGGAUGACUUCCUUUUGUAUUACAACGUCAUGAUUACAAAUAAUCAUAAUAGAGUGCCCAUUUUAAAGUGGCCUUUCCCUCCAAGCACACAGGAGACUCCCUCAGAUUCCCUAGGAAACCAAAGAAAUACUGAAUCUACUCCACAAAAGGUACUUGGUUGGCUGCUUCCCCAGGAACAUCCCUCCAUCCUCACGGGUAUCCCGCCAUGGACCUCGGGGAGCCCUGGACAAACAUGCAUGUGUGCGACGCUUGUAACAAACCUGCAAGGUAGACCUCAUACAGCCCAGUUUUGGAAGAGGGAGUUGAGUUUUAGAGCAUUUACAUAAUUUGCCCAAGGUCACAAGACAGCUACUCAGUGGUAGAAAGAUACUUCAAACGCAGUUCUGCUGGGCUCCCACUCCUGCACCAGAACCAUUAUGCUGUAGUAUCUAUCAUCGUGUCCUCGCAGUGACCUGGGAAGAGAGGCUGUACUGCAGGCGAGGAAAGACAAAGUGACUCGCUCCAGGCUGUCCAGCUCCUGAGUGACCGGCUCAGCCUUCCCACCCAGCUCCCCUACCCUGGCGUCCAAGAUCUCAUUCCUUGCCUCCCUCUUAACUGACUUGAACACCUGAAUGGUGUCUUCGAGUAAAUGUAACAGUCAUAAGAGGACAAACAAAAACCCUUGCCUAAUACUCAGUCCCCAGUAUUUCCCACUUUUCAUCAUUCCGUUCCUUUAGCUGUCUUAGAAAGGUGGUUUCAGUGUAUAAAUGUAGCAGGUGGAAGAAGCUGUUGUCUUGCUCAGAGGCCGGAAAGCUGCUGACAUUUCCUCCUUCUCUGUUGAGUUAAUCAGAAAUUAUUUGGCAGGAGACCCGGGUAUUAUUUUAGAAGGCAGACGUAGGUGGGCUGACCAUCGGAAAAAGCAGUCUUUUCUAAUUCUAUUAAAAUAACAAAAAUGUGGGUUUUGGGGUUUUAUUUUGCCUUUUAAUUUCCAGAGAACAUGAUACUAUCUAUAUAGUUAUUUUGGGUUUUUGCAAAAUUAUCUUCUUUUCACAAGAAACUCACCAUUGCACGUAAGAAGCAUCAUAUUGUCUGAGGAGUUCUCAGAUAUAUAUAUCGCUCUGCCCGGGUAGAGAGUAGUCAUGUUUUGUACUUGUUUUUCUUUGAAAUAAAAGUCUGACAGGUAUCA